This 75-nucleotide transfer RNA is filed under the name Methanothrix harundinacea 6Ac. Its description in RNAcentral is "Methanosaeta harundinacea 6Ac tRNA". It matches the Rfam family "tRNA". From Rfam's summary of the family: Transfer RNA (tRNA) molecules are approximately 80 nucleotides in length. Lineage: Archaea; Methanobacteriati; Methanobacteriota; Methanomicrobia; Methanotrichales; Methanotrichaceae. The record is from Rfam by way of RNAcentral.
GGGCGUGUAGCCUAGCCAGGACAAGGCGGCAGCCUCCUAAGCUGUAGAUCAAGGGUUCGAAUCCCUUCACGCCCG